Notechis scutatus (mainland tiger snake) is the source of this 245-nucleotide non-coding RNA. Lineage: Eukaryota; Metazoa; Chordata; Lepidosauria; Squamata; Elapidae. The record is from RefSeq and is a predicted model, not a curated record.
UCACCUACUACCUGCCAGGCAUUUGCAGGCAGAUUUCUGAACGAGAAUUUAAAAGCCACAAGCAGUUCCGUCAUGGCUUUUAAUGGGCUCGACUUACGACUGCAAUCAAGCCCAGAGUUUAUGUUCUUAAGUGAGACAUUUGUCAAGGGAGUUUUGCCCCAUUUUAGGCAAGGGAGGGGGGGAAAGGGGUUUGGAAGAGCAGUGCGGCAGCUUGGAAAUAGAAAGUGCAUUCCAUACAUAGUUUU